Gallus gallus (chicken) is the source of this 1978-nucleotide long non-coding RNA. The record is from Ensembl. Lineage: Eukaryota; Metazoa; Chordata; Aves; Galliformes; Phasianidae.
GUCACUACUCUGAGGAGGGGGAUCACAGCUCAAACAACUCAUGAACUGUCUCAGAUUAACCUGAUUUUGUGAAGAAUACCACAUUCCAUUGACAUAUCAAAUGCAAGCUAGAAGUGCUUUGUUCGUUUAGCAACCCAGAUUCCUGCAGUUUAUGGGAAGAUAUCCAACACUAUGGGGCCUUGAAAUCAUGCUGGAGAUUGCUCUCUCUGAUAAGUCUGAGGAUCAGCUACAGAUAGUUCUUUUGCCCACUCCUCCCUCUCAUCUGACAAGGAAGGAAAAAGAGAAAAAAAAAGAGGAAAAAAAAAGAGAAAAAGAGAAAUAGAGAAAUGGAGUAAAAGAGAAAAGAAAAAAGGAAAAAAAAGGAAAAAAAAAGAAAAAAAAGAGCCAAAGAAGCCAAAUCUUCUACAAACGUUCACUCUUCACACAGGAUAAAAACUGAAGGGAAUUGUUUAGCAAGAAAACUGCAAAUGCUUCCCAAGGACCUACAGAUCAUCUCUGCUAUAUCCUUUGUUACAACAGUUCCAAGUUUAUACUGUCCACUAUAUUUGGACAGUAAAAUAAAUACAAACUCUAUGUAUGUCAACUGAUUUCAGAGCUCAUCUUGCAAGGCAACAGUAUCUUGCUGAAUUUUGUGCUGUUUAGUCUCCCUUGAACUCAGCUAAGUGCUCUGGGUAAAUAAAUACUAAAAGAGAGGCUAGUAUUUGGCCAAACUGAAGGCGAUGGGAAAGCUGCCACCCACUUCAAUGAGGCCACGGUUUCACCGCAAAUAUCUUAACUGCCCACACACGCAUAAUGAUGCACACAAAUCUCAGCGUCUGGCCUGCCCCACGGGUAUACCUGCUGCAGGCUGCUUGUUUGUAAACAGACUCGGAGCAGCAUCACCUACAGCGGUUUUCAUUAAGCACAUCAGCAACAGACCAUUAUCACUCCCACAUGCAAGAGGUAUUGGUGUACAGCAACGUACCCAGAACGUCCAGCUGAUGACUCAUUUUUGUAUUCUCUGCAAACAGCACUGCAUGGCUGACAGUCAAUACAUAAAGCCUAGUUAUAGUGGAGUGAGAGUGCUCAAAAUACAAUCUCCAGAAGAGGGAGGAGUUACAGAUGCUAGAUGAGAAGUGGAAUCUCUGAUAUUUGUUGCAGAGGGAGAAUUCUGUGAAAUACAUUAACUACAACAGCAUGAAGCCAUGUGAAUACAGCCGAGCUGUCCCAAAACCACAACCCUGGCACUUCCAGGGAAGUGUCCUGCUGGCACCAGCCAGAAACAGUGGCCCCUGGAAGCCUCUGAUGCAGGCCAGCCCUCUGGGUACGACAACAGCAGGGGAGAGAAAUCCACCCCAGGCACUCCUCUCUUAAACCUAGAUGGAAUUUUGAUCAGUGUUUCAGUGUAAAUGUACACUUCACCAAAACACACUUCCACUCUGAAUAGCUUGAAGAAGAAAUUAGUUUUCAGGCAUAUAUAGCACCAAGUUAAUUCUUUCAAGGAAAAAAAUGGUUCUAGUGGUAAUUUGUUCUGAAAAGUGCUCGUAUGCUCAAUUUACACCACUGAGAAAUGCAGAAUCAAUCCUUCUUAUAUAUUACUGCUGUUUAGUAAUUGCCUCCUGAGAUAAUCCAGCAGUUAUUUUCCUUCCAGACAUUUUAAACCAGCUGCCCAGAUAUUGCAAUUUCAUACUGGAGCCCUCUGUGCAGGCUGUGGCAAAUAGGCUGAUGUUCUGGAUAAUGAAAAAGCUCCUUGGUACUUGCUCUAUCAAGACUACCUUGGUCACAACAGACAAAAAUUAAUCCUCUGCCCUUUUCAUUCUGGGAACUUGUUAUGAGUUUAACUCCUUACCUGUCAGGAAGAAUUAUUAUGCUAACCUCCUCACAAUAUUUUUUUGUGUGAAUAAGUGCUUUUUGAUCAUAGCUAGGCAAGAUAUUUGUGUUAAAAUACUGUAGGUUUUAUAAAGCUGUCUAUAAAAUGGGACAAGAAAAUGAAAGUAGA